This is a long non-coding RNA of Coturnix japonica (Japanese quail), 2636 nucleotides long. The record is from Ensembl. Lineage: Eukaryota; Metazoa; Chordata; Aves; Galliformes; Phasianidae.
GCCCCACCCGCAGCUGUUCCCAUGGCCCGUCCUAUUUGUGGUGUUAUUUUAACCCUAAAUACCCUUUUUUGGCUUGUUUUGACUUUAUGGGGUGGGGUGGAUUUUGGCUCAGCAUCAAAGGAGACGUGGGGCCCUAUAGGGGAUAUGGGGCGGCCCUAUAGGGGAUAUAGGGGGCCCUAUAGGGGAUAUGGGGGCCCUAUAGGGGAUAUGGGUGGUCCUAUAGGGGAUAUGGGGGGUCCUAUAGGGGAUAUGGGGGGAUAUGGGGGGCCCUAUAGGGGAUAUGGGGCAGCCCUAUAGGGGAUAUGGGGCGGCCCUAUAAGGGAUAUGGGGGGAGCCCUAUAGGAGAUAAGAGGGGGGCAGCCCCAUAGGGGAUAUGGAGGGAUAUGGGGGGCCCUAUAGGGGAUAUGGGGGGGGCAGCCCCAUAGGGGAUAUGGGGGGCCCUAUAGGGGAUAUGGGGGGUCCUACAGGGGAUAUGGGGCAGCCCUAUAGGGGAUAUGGGGGAUCCUAUAGGGGAUAUGGGGCAGCCCCAUAGGGGAUAUGGGGGGAUAUGGGGGGGCCCUAUAGGGGAUAUGGGGCAGCCCCAUAGGGGAUAUGGGGGAUCCUAUAAGGGAUAUGGGGCGGCACUAUAGGGAUAUGGGGGGAGGGCGGCCCUAUAGGGGAUAUGGGGGGCCCUAUAGGGGAUAUGGGGCAGCCCUAUAGGGGAUAUGGGGGGUCCUAUAGGGGAUAUGGGGCAGCCCUAUAGGGGAUAUGGGGGGCCCUAUAGGGGAUAUAGGGGGCCCUAUAGGGGAUAUGGGGCGGCCCUAUAGGGGAUAUGGGGGGAGCCCUAUAGGGGAUAUGGGGCGGCCCUAUAAGGGAUAUGGGGGAGCCCUAUAGGGGAUAUGGGGAGGCCCUAUAGGGGAUAAGGGGGGAGCCCUAUAGGGGAUAAGGGGGCCAAUGGGGCUGCAUUGGGGUCUAUGGGGCUGUAUUGGGGUCUAUGGGGCUGUAUUGGGUUCUAUGGGGCUGUAUUGGGGUCUAUGGGGCAGUAUUGGGGUCUAUAUGGGGUCUAUGGGGCUGUAUUGGGGUCUAUGGGGCUGUAUUGGGGUCUAUGGGGCNGUAUUGGGGUCUAUGGGGCUGUAUUGGGGUCUAUGGGGCAGUAUUGGGGUCUAUGGGGCUGUAUUGGGUUCUAUGGGGCAGUAUUGGGUUCUAUGGGGCAGUAUUGGGGUCUAUGGGGCUGCAUUGGGGUCUAUGGGGCUGUAUUGGGGUCUAUGGGGCUGUAUUGGGGUCUAUAUGGGGUCUAUGGGGUUGUAUUGGGGUCUAUGGGGCUGUAUUGGGGUCUAUGGGGCUGUAUUGGGGUCUAUGGGGCUGUAUUGGGGUCUAUGGGGUCAAUGGGGCAGUAUUGGGGUCUAUGGGGCUGUAUUGGGGUCUAUGGGGCAGUAUUGGGGUCUAUGGGGUCAAUGGGGCAGUAUUGGGGUCUAUGGGGCUGUAUUGGGGUCUAUGGGGCAGUAUUGGGGUCUAUGGGGCUGUAUAUACAGCUGACAUGCAAAUCAUAUGCAAAUAAGUCAAUUAAACAGACCAAUUAUGCUAAUUAUACGCUGUAAACACACAAACAACCUACAAACAUAAUGAAUAUGCAAAUCAAUGUGACUAAUGAGGGAUAUCUGGUCUGAUAUGCAAAUUAUAUGCAAAUAAUGAGCCCUAAUUAAUUAAGAGUUAAUUAGGGGGAGCAUGAGGUGGGGGAGGGGAUGGAGAAAACAGAGAUAACGAGCACAGAAUGAAGGGGGGUAAUUAGGGCUAAUUAAUAAUUAAUAGUGGCUAAUUAAUGACUAAUUAAUGGCUAAUAAUGGAUCAUUAAUGCCAAUUAAUCCCUAUUAAUGGCUAAUAAUGGGUGAUUAAUGACUAAUUAAAACCUAUUGAUGGCUAAUACUGGAUAAUUAAUGACUAAUUAAUACCUAUUAAUGGCUAAUAAUGAAUAAUUAAUGCCAAUUAAUCACUAUUAAUGGCUAAUAAUGGAUAAUUAACGACUAAUAAUAACUAUUAAUGGCUAAUAAUGGGUGAUUAAUGACUAAUAAUAACUAUUAAUGGCUAAUAAUGGGUGAUUAAUGACUAAUUAAAACCUAUUGAUGGCUAAUACUGGAUAAUUAAUGACUAAUUAAUAACUAAUACUGGAUAAUAAUGGAUGAUUAACGACUAAUUAAUACAUAUUAAUGGCUAACAAUGGGUAAUCAAUAACUAAUUAAUAUAUAUAAAUGGCUAUUAAUGAAUAAUUAAUGCCAAUUAAUACCUAUGAAUGGCUAAUAAUGGAUAAUUAAUGACUAAUUAAUAACUAAUAAUGGAUAAUUAAUGCCAAUUAAUACCUAUGAAUGGCUAAUAAUGGAUAAUUAACGACUAAUUAAUACAUAUUAAUGGCUAAUAAUGGGUGAUUAAUGACUAAUUAGUGCCUAUUAAUGGCUAAUAAUGGAUGAUUAAUGACUAACUAAUGCCUAUUAAUGGCUAAUUAAUGACUAAUUAAUAACUAAUAAUGGAUAAUUAAUGACUAAUACAUAUUAAUGGAUAAUAAUGGGUGAUUAAUGGCUAAUUAAUCCCUAUUAAUGGCUAUUAAUUAAAGAUAUAUACAGGUAAUAGAAAUAAAUAGUGGAUAGAUAAGAUAAAUAAUAACA